RNAcentral lists this ribosomal RNA (433 nucleotides) under uncultured bacterium. RNAcentral describes it as "partial 16S ribosomal RNA". It matches the Rfam family "Bacterial small subunit ribosomal RNA", at positions 29 to 507 of the family's 1533-position model. The record is from RNAcentral.
AACGAACGCUGGCGGCAUGCCUAACACAUGCAAGUCGAACGAGACCUUCGGGUCUAGUGGCGCACGGGUGCGUAACGCGUGGGAACCUGCCCUUAGGUUCGGAAUAACUCCCCGAAAGGGGUGCUAAUACCGGAUAAUGUCUUCGGACCAAAGAUUUAUCGCCUUUGGAUGGGCCCGCUUUGGAUUAGCUAGUUGGUAGGGUAAAAGCCUACCAAGGCGACGAUCCAUAGCUGGUCUGAGAGGAUGAUCAGCCACACUGGGACUGAGACACGGCCCAGACUCCUACGAGAGGCAGCAGUGGGGAAUAUUGGACAAUGGGCGAAAGCGUGAUAAAGCAAUGCCGCGUGAGUGCUGAAGGCCUUAGGGUUGUAAAGCUAUUUUACCCGGGAUGAUAAUGACAGUACCGGGAGAAUAAGCCCCGGCUAACUCCGUG